GGAGGAAAAGAAACUAACAAGGAUUCCCCUAGUAACUGCGAGUGAAGCGGGAAAAGCUCAAAUUUAAAAUCUGGCGGUCUUUGGCUGUCCGAGUUGUAAUCUAGAGAAGUGUUAUCCGCGCUGGACCGUGUACAAGUCUCCUGGAAUGGAGCGUCAUAGAGGGUGAGAAUCCCGUCUUUGACACGGACUGCCAGGGCUUUGUGAUGCGCUCUCAAAGAGUCGAGUUGUUUGGGAAUGCAGCUCAAAAUGGGUGGUAAAUUCCAUCUAAAGCUAAAUAUUGGCGAGAGACCGAUAGCGAACAAGUACCGUGAGGGAAAGAUGAAAAGAACUUUGGAAAGAGAGUUAAACAGUACGUGAAAUUGCUGAAAGGGAAACGCUUGAAGUCAGUCGCGUUGGCCGGGGAUCAACCUUGCUUUUGCUGGGCGUACUUUCCGGUCGACGGGUCAGCAUCAAUUUUGACCGUUGGAUAAAGGCUGAGGGAAUGUGGCUCCUUCGGGAGUGUUAUAGCCCUUGGUCGCAUACAACGAUUGGGAUUGAGGAACUCAGCACGCCGCAAGGCCGGGUACUUGUACCACGUUCGUGCUUAGGAUGCUGGCAUAAUGGCUUUAAUCGACCC
This 616-nucleotide ribosomal RNA is filed under the name Psilocybe cyanescens. Its description in RNAcentral is "eukaryotic LSU rRNA". It matches the Rfam family "Eukaryotic large subunit ribosomal RNA", at positions 52 to 650 of the family's 3401-position model. Lineage: Eukaryota; Fungi; Basidiomycota; Agaricomycetes; Agaricales; Agrocybaceae. The record is from RNAcentral.